Molecule: long non-coding RNA, 4653 nt
Filed under: Sus scrofa (pig)
Lineage: Eukaryota; Metazoa; Chordata; Mammalia; Artiodactyla; Suidae
Description: lncRNA (ENSSSCG00000054988.1, ENSSSCG00025039442.1, ENSSSCG00090008534.1, ENSSSCG00160046847.1)
Source: RNAcentral
GUUUUACUGUUGCUGUCGAUGGUGGAGUUUUGUCAUAGGUGUGCACGGUGCAACGUCUGAAAACUUCUGAAAGACAGAAAUAGUUCAAGAUAGACCAUCCAUCCUCCUGCCACGCAGAGGUAACUUCGAUCACCUUACAUGAAGGUCUGAAGGUCAGCAGGCCCCGCAGGUAGCCUUCGUGUUUAAGAGGCCGGGACCAAAGGUGAAGCCUGCCAGCAACACCAGAGUUGCAUCCCACACUCAGUCCGGCUUGCAAUCGGAGGGCAGGCACGUCACAAUUCUGGUGGAAAGGAUCCAAGAACCCCUGCCUGCUGGACCUGCAGACAGACUCAGAUUCUCCAGGACGAGGCCCCUGCGGAAAGAUGGUGGGAGGAGAGAAGGUGAACUUGGUCCCGGGACUGCAUCAGGUGAGUGGUCCGUGGGGCCAGGAGACCUGAAUUCCUAGGGCAGGUGUCCGGCUCCAGUCCCGGCUCCGUGUGAACCGAAGUAGCAGGGUCAUGCUCUCCUCUGCUGGGCUCCCUGGACGGGAUCUUUGGAAGUUCCAAGCACUGAAAUUCUUAGGAAGCCAUCUCUCCUCCCCUGGCUCUCUGUACCCUAGACCCAUUCGAAAUGCAGACUCUUCUGAACUUAAACCAGUCCCAAGAUCCAGCAAUAUAAUUUUUUAUUAUUUAUUUAUUUAGAUUUUUGAUUUAAAUUAAAAAAAUUAAAAUAUAGGUGAUAUACAAUGUUGUGCCAAUUUCUGCUGCACAGCAAAGGGACCCAGUCAUACAUAGACAGAUGUUCUUUUUCUCAUAUUAUCUUCUAUCCUGUUCUAUCACAAAAGACUGGAUAGGAGUUCCCGUCGUGGCGCAGUGGUUAACGAAUCCGACUAGGAACCAUGAGGUUGCGGGUUCGGUCCCUGGCCUUGCUCAGUGGGUUGAGGAUCCGGCGUUGCCGUGAGCUGUGGUGUAGGUUGCAGACGCGGCUCGGAUCCUGCGUUGCUGUGGCUCUGGCGUAGGCCGGUGGCUACAGCUCCGAUUCAACCCCUAGCCUGGGAACCUCCAUAUGCCGCGGGAGCGGCGCAAGAAAUAGCAACAACAAUAACAACAACAAAAAGACCAAACAAACAAACAAACAAACAAAAGACUGGAUAGAGUUCCCUGUGCUGUGCAGCAGGACCUUGUUGCUUAUCCAUCCUGAAUGUAGUAGUUUGCAUCUGUUAACCCCAAACUCCCCGUCCAUCCCAAUCCUUCCCCCUCCCCCUUGGAAACCACAAGUCUCUUCUCCAACAUUAUAGUUUUUUUAAAUGGAGAAUAUUUAGGGCAUAUUUUGAAAGAUUCCAUUACUUCCAUUACUGUUAUUGUUGUCGCUGUCAUUGUUAUUAUUCAUGAUCCGCCUCCCACGCCCCCUGGCAACCACAAGUCUGCUCUCCUGGUCCCUGAUAUGCUUCUGUUUUGUAGAUAAGAUCAUUUGUAUCAUAUUUUAGAUUCUAUAUAUAUUUGUCUCUCUCUUUCUGACUUACUUCACUCGUGAUGAAAAUCUCUAGUUGCAUCCGUGUUGCUGCAAAUGGUAUUAUUUUGUCCUUUUCAUGACUGAGUAGUAUUCCAUCACAUAGAGGUACCACAUCUUCUUAAUCCAUUCACCUGUUGAUGGACAUUUAGGUUGUUUCCGUGACUUAGAUAUCAUGAACCCUAAAUAUAGAACUACCAUAUGCCCUAGCAAUUCCACUCCUGGGCAUGUGUCUGGAUAAAACUUUGAUUCAAAAAGAUACAGGCACCCCUACGGUCACUGCAGCCCUAUUCACAACAUCCACAGAAGGAUUUUUAUUAAUACUUUUUCUUUGGAGAUGUUACUUACAAUGAUUUUUGCUCUUCGAUUCCUUACCCAGCUGAACCAAGAUUGAUAAAAAGGUUCUCCUGGAUUCAGAAAUUGAUGUUCAUUCAUUGCCAUGGUCUCCUUUGCUUGGGGUUGUCCCACCAUUUUUCUACCCUUAGCACCUGGAAGACCAGGCAUUGUGCGAAGCAGGACAGCAAUCAGAAGGAGGGCAGAGCUUGGAGGGACAUUGCACCCCUUUGAGGGUUGGCAGGGGGACCGGGGCUUCAUUAAUCUAAUCUGGCCCCUGAGGAAGAAAAAAUUAGUGCUCUCCGUAUGUACAUGACCUUUGCCCCAGUUCUAUUUUUGGAAUCAUUGCUGGAGGGUCUGUCAGUGGUGUCUGGGGGGGAGUUAAAACAGAAUUUACAAUUGAGUGGUCGGUUCACCCUUGCAUGGAGCUCACUGCCUUGAGAGAAAUCUGCAGCUCAAAUAAUAAAGAGUCCGAGAUUCCUCCAAAGCAGUCUGUUCAUUCAGAAAAGUCAUUAAGUGAUGCUAAAAGUAGAUGCUAAAAGUAGAUAGAACUGGAGUUCCCGUCAUGGCGCAGCAGAAACGAAUCCCACUAGGAACCGUGAGGUUGCGGGUUUGAUCCCUGGCCUUGCUCAGUGGGUUAAGGAUCCAGCAUUGCCGUGAGCUGUGGUGUAGGUCAAAGAUGCAGCUUGGCUGUGGUGCCGGCCGGCAGCUGUAGCUCUGAUUCAACCCCUAGUCUGGGAACUUCUAUAUGCCGCAGGUACGGCCCUAAAAAGCAAAUAAACAAAUAAAUAACUAAAUAAAAUCGGAUAGAACAACCACCUAGCUGGGCUGCUGACUGAAUUUUCAUACAGUGGCUAAAUAUUUUGAUUCAAUAUAUUCAAGCAGAAUCAAAUACUUGUUUAAUUUUAUUUAUGAAACGUCAUUUCAGUUGAACAGAUGCUAUGGUUAAUUUCAAUUCAUGUUGGAGACAGACGCGUACAAUUUCAUUAUUGUCUUGGUCAGAUGUCCAAUCUUCUACUACCUCUUUGUGCUAAUCCAGUUAGUUGGCAGCUCGUGACUGAGAGGUACUAAUGUAGGGAAAGAAGGCCACUUUCUUCGAUGGAUUUUUAAAAUUAGAAUUUGGGAGUUGCCGUCGUGGCGCAGGGGAAACGAAUCUGAUGAGGAACCAUGAGAUGGCAGGUUCAAUCCCUGGCCUCCCUCAGGGGGUUAAGGAGCUGGGGUUGCUGUGAGCUGUGGUGUAGGUUGCAGAUGCGGCUCAGAUCUGCUGUUGCUGUGGCCGUGGUGUCGGCCAGCAGCUGUAGCUCCAAUUCGACCCCUAGCCUGGGAACUUCCAUAUGCCAUGGUGCGGCCCUAAAAAAGCAAAAAAUAAAAAUAAAAUAAAAAAUUAAAAUUUAUCUAUGUCGAUGUUCUUAGGACCAAUGAUAUAAAGUCGCCUCAAAACUGUGUAACUACAGACCCAAUUCUGUACUGCUUACAAGAGACACCCAUUAAAUAUAACUCAGGCACUCAAUAAUCAUGAGAAAGCAGGAGUGACUCUAUUAGCAUCAGAAAAAGUCCACUUCAAGACAAGACGUAUUAUCAGAGACAAUUUCAUAAUGAUGAAAACAGAACCUGACAGAAUUAGAGACGUCAAUGCACGCUUAUAGUCAGGAAUUUUAACAUUUCCCUUUGCAUCAUUGAUGGAACCAGUAGGUGGUAUAAGACGUCAGGAUACAGACGAUUUGAACAACACUACCGUUCAAUUAACCUAAUGGACAUUUCUAGAACUACACACGCAACCAGGUAGAAUACACGUUCUUUUCUGGUAGACGGAGAUCAUUUGCCAAGAUAGACCACGUGCUAUCAAAUAGCAAAUAUUCAGCUAGCCAAUACUCAGAGAUAUAAAAAUAUUCGAUCAUGCAGAAUAUCUUCUCUGACUACAAUGGAGUUAAAUUAGAAAUGGAAAAUAAAAAGAUAUCUGGAAAAGCCCCCGCUAUUUAGAAGAUAAACCACAUACUCCUGAAUAACCCUUGGCUGGAAAGAGAAAUCCUAAGGGAAAUACGGCCAACUGAACGAUCGGGGCUGGCACAACAGGUUAAAAUCGGAGAGAUGGAUCAAAGACAUAGUCCUCAGUGAAAUCUGUAACUCUAAAUGCUGAUAUUACGAAAGAAGAAUGGUUUUAAAUCAAUCCUUUGAGCUUCCCUUUUAAGGGACUAGAAAAACAAGAGAAAGCAAAUCAAAACCGAAAUAAAAGGAAUGAAGGAAACGGUAAAGAUAAGAUCAGAAACCAGUGAAAUACAAAAUGCACAGACAAUGGAGAAAAUCAGUAACACUAAAGGCUGGUUCUUCGAAAGAUCAAUAAAAUUGAAAAAGCUCUGGUUAAACAACUGAUGAAUUGAUACUGAUAAAGGUGAGAAAAAAAUACGAAUGACUAAAUCAGGAAUGAAGAAGGACAUUAGUUUGGAUGCCACAGAUGCUAAAAAGACAGAAAGGGGAUAUACUGCGAGCAGAUUUACAUCCUUCAGUUUAGCGACUCAGGUGACAUGGAAAAAUUUCUAGAAAAACAUAUGUUGCAAAAACAAGACACACAAAGAAACAGAAAAUGUAAAUAGCUCAAAGAUGUUCAAUUCAAUUCAUAAUAAGAUCCUGGAUCAAAGAAAAUUCUAUGAAAGAUGGCUUUCCUAGUAAAUUUUAUGAUACAGUUAAGGAAGAAAUAAAACUAAUUUUAGACAAACUCUGUCUGAAAAUGCGAGGCCAGCAUAACCCUGAUUCCAAAACCAGACAAGAAUAUUACAAGGAAACCACAGACCAAUAACAAAAAUUUGUCUUAUGAACAAAGAUUCCCAGACCCCU